This 834-nucleotide small RNA is filed under the name Histoplasma ohiense. RNAcentral describes it as "hypothetical lncRNA". Lineage: Eukaryota; Fungi; Ascomycota; Eurotiomycetes; Onygenales; Ajellomycetaceae. The record is from RNAcentral.
GUGAGUGAUAAUCCCAAGCUGGGCCCGGGCGAGGUUGCAGACGGGUCAGCAGUGGAUUCCUCGACACAGUCAAUCGAGGGAAUCAUUGAUGCAUGUGGGACCAAGGUCUACGGAGUCUACUCCGUAGUUAGGUAUGCAUGGAUGCAGCCCGGCCCGUCCCUGCUGGCUCUAUAUCUGACCCGGGACGGUUUGUACUCCGUAGACUCGUCCAUCCAUCUCCAGAGAUGCAAGCAAAAGCAAAACCUUUGGCUCUCGAGUGAGUGAGAUCUGAGACCUGAGAUCUGAGCUUGCUGGCUGCAUGCAGUUCCCCCUUCACCGAUCGACAUCUAGACAUACGCGGCGUAAGUAUUAUUGUUGGUCGGCCUCGUCCCGUGUGCAGCUGUGGGAUUCUUCCCUCGCGGCCCGAAUUUCAAUUUUCAUCCAUUUGACUCGAGCUUGAGCCCUUAAGCUGGCCCAACGAGAGUGGAUUGAUAUUCAGAGCGCAUCCCAAUCAUCAUCAUCAUCAUCAUCAUCAUUAUUCUUAUUAUUAUUAUAACGAGGCUACUUUAUUUUCUCCCUCUCUUUCAAUCUGGUGAUGGGAUAUGAAGAAAUCGCAAUUCAGCGAACCUCGUGCGGUAUCUCCCAGGUACACACUGUAUGUACUGUACAGUACAUGUGUACAGUGCAGCAAAUCAAUCGCACACUCACCACACCGUGGCCUGAUCCUGGAUGGGGACGGGGAGCUCUGUACUGAAAGAUGAAUACGUCAAUACCAAUAAAUACGGAAUACGUAAAGGGACGAUACACGCGGAACCAGCGCCAACAAAAGCUUCAACGAAAGCUUCAAAGCCAGCC